RNAcentral lists this ribosomal RNA (521 nucleotides) under uncultured bacterium. Its description in RNAcentral is "bacterial SSU rRNA". It matches the Rfam family "Bacterial small subunit ribosomal RNA", at positions 33 to 518 of the family's 1533-position model. The record is from RNAcentral.
AGGACGACGCUGGCGGCGUGCCUAAUACAUGCAAGUCGAACGGUCUUUCUAUGGAAGCUUGCUUCCACUGAGAAGAUAGUGGCGAACGGGUGAGUAACACGUGGGGUAACCUGCCCAUAAGAGGGGGGAUAACGAUCCGGAAACGGGUGCUAAUACCGCAUAGUUUCUUGAUCGCAUGAUCGGGAAAGGAAAGACGGCCUUUGUGCUGUCGCUUAUGGAUGGACCCGCGGCGUAUUAGUUAGUUGGUGAGGUAACGGCUCACCAAGACGAUGAUACGUAGCCGACCUGAGAGGGUGAUCGGCCACAUUGGGACUGAGACACGGCCCAAACUCCUACGGGAGGCAGCAGUAGGGAAUCUUCCGCAAUGGACGAAAGUCUGACGGAGCAACGCCGCGUGAGUGAAGAAAAGGUUUUCGGAUCGUAAAACUCUGUUGUCAGAGAAGAACAAGUUGGAGAGUAACUGCUCCAGCCUUGACGGUAUCUGACCAGAAAGCCACGGCUAACUACGUGCCAGCCGCAGC